RNAcentral lists this long non-coding RNA (1117 nucleotides) under Homo sapiens (human). RNAcentral's name for it is "non-protein coding RFPL3S:7". Lineage: Eukaryota; Metazoa; Chordata; Mammalia; Primates; Hominidae. The record is from RNAcentral.
CAAAGUUCAUAGCAGGUUGAACAUGCUUGCUGUCAUUUUCACAGAUUCUGGUCUUUCUUAUGGGGAACCUGAGUUCCUGCAUUAAAGUUCCCCCAGAAGAUCAAUGGAAGGUGGAUUCCAAAGAGUGGGCAAGUGAGGACCCCUUCUCUGUUACCAAGGUGACCCCAAGGAACACAGUAAAUGUGGCGGCUUAUUUGGCCUCCCCAGGACGGACUGGAGCAUCAGUAGUGCCUGAGUUCAUCAAAGGACAGAUGCUCAAGACACCUUGAUCACCAUUAGGUGGAAUUGAAGGAGCCAAAAAUGGGCGCAGUGGCUCCUCAGCAGAGACGCUCCUGAAUGUAUAGACAUGGGAACCACUUUCAGCAUCAAAAAAGGAAACGUUCUGCAUGCCCAUAUCCAGAAAAAUCCCCACUCGCUGUAACUUGCGGUCUACUAAGAGGAAAGUCAGCGGCACCGUGCUGGCAGAGAGGCGGCUUCCAUCCCUCAAACUCACAGUCCAGAAUCCAAGCUCUGUGGUCAGCUGGAUCUUCCCUUUGCAGUGAACAGAUUCUCUGCAGACUCCCAGGUCCCAUUCUGUGCUUGUUCCCACGUCCACCUCCCAGUAGUGGCGGCCACAGGUAAAGCGAGGGGAGCCCAGGAUGCAAACGGACACGUCAAAUCUCUCGGCAAGGUCUUGCCGAUUCUGUGUGAUGAGCCCACUUCGGACGCUCCUGAGGUCGUCAGAAAUGAGGAGGAAGUUGUUGGCUGUGUCGGCAUCCAAGGUCAUAUCCACUGUGAAAAGGAAAACAAGUUGCUCAGCAAGUGGACAGAAGCCAACCCCAUGCCUCUCUUCUACUUCAAAGGCCCAAAUAUCUCCUGACUUUAGUUUCUUUAAUUCUGUUUCUUCCUCCAAAAUCAAAACUUUUCAUGAGGAAACUUCCCUAUUUCAAAUUUUCAUAGGUAUGCUUUGUGGCAAUACGUGACUCUUAUUCACAGUAGCAAUUCUUAUUUUACUUUACGUCACGUGUUUGCUUCACUGAACUUUUCUUCAUUUAGAGUGGAGGGUCUCUGAAGGCAGACACCAUGCCCCCCUUUCUACCACCUUGAUGUGUGAACAAAUAAAUGAUAAUUAAGACAA